AGAAUCAACGCUGGCGGCGUGCCUAACACAUGCAAGUCGAACGAGAAAGGUGGAGCAAUCCACGAGUAAAGUGGCGCACGGGUGAGUAACACGUGACUAACCUACCCUUGAGUGGGGAAUAACUGAGGGAAACCUUAGCUAAUACCGCAUAACACCUACGGGUCAAAGGAGCAAUUCGCUUAAGAGGGGUCGGCGGCAGAUUAGUUAGUUGGCGGGGUAAUGGCCCACCAAGACAGUGAUCUGUA
Molecule: ribosomal RNA, 245 nt
Filed under: uncultured bacterium
Lineage: Bacteria
Description: partial small subunit ribosomal RNA
Rfam family: Bacterial small subunit ribosomal RNA
Source: RNAcentral